Molecule: long non-coding RNA, 1242 nt
Organism: Clupea harengus (Atlantic herring)
Lineage: Eukaryota; Metazoa; Chordata; Actinopteri; Clupeiformes; Clupeidae
Source: Ensembl
GCGAAUAUAUUCAGCACCAAGGCCAGCGGUCAGAAACAGAUCGGUUAGUUCAAUAGCUUUUCACUUGAGACUACGGAAAGGGAUACUCCGCAGACCUAUGGAUAUUUGUAAACGCGAUCAGAUUUUCUUCUCAUUUCGUAAGGAAGGAAUCAACAAGAGGACCCGGAAUUGUUGGCAUGGCAACAGCACCCUUAAAGCAGCAAUAAGGAGUUCUGUUCCAAAACUAGCAAGCUAUCGCUAGAUAACUCCCUAAAGGCAUGCAAAGGCAUUUUUGCAGGGUAUUCCAGCCCGGUACACAGAACUACAUAGGGCAUAUCCUGGAUGGCCAGUGGGAAAGACGGAUGAACUAUCAUGAACUAUCAUGGAUGUGGUGAUUAACAUUAUCACAGAGCAACGGAUCUGAGGUUUAUAGAUCAGCUUCUGAAAACCUCAGUUAGGCCAAAGUAAACUUAUUGUAGCAGUGCCUUGUUAGACUGGCAUUAACGUUAUAUGAAGGGCUACUUAAAUCUAGAGGCCACUAAUACAUGUGAGUCCUGGGGUAGAGAAAUUAAGACACUAAAUUACAGAGAUGGUAGGCGCGCUGGAACCUCUUUCAUGCAAGGGGGGCUGUGGGCUCCAUAUAUAUCUAUGGUGGGCUCUACUAAAAUAUGUGACAUCACAGCAAUAUGAUAUUAGACAAGUAUUUAGAGGCAAUUUAGAAGCACUGAUUGAUUACUAGUUUGUUUUGAUUGCCAAAAUAGGUUAUCCUUUCACAGAAAUGUAUUUUCAUCACUAUGGAUUUAAGAAGAUAUCAAGACAACAGGCUGAAGUAUGGGCACAUGUAGUGAGUGGUCAGAGAUGAAGAGAAUCUCUUCAACUGAUAUAAUUCAAUUUAUUACAUUUUUAUUCAUAAUAUAAUAUAAUAUUCACUGGAUUGGAACAAUAACUGAAAAAGUAUGUGACAAUCUACAGAAGCAUCAUCCAUCCAACAACAGGUAAAAGCCCGGCUGAAUUGCUUUUCAACCGAAAGAUGAGAGGAAAGCUACCUGAACUGAUUGAAGUGUACACGGAUCAGGAUGUAUGUGACCGUGACCCUGAGCAAAAGGCUAAGUAGAGUAAGCUGUAUGCAGACACACGCAGAGGAGCGCAGCAGUCAGAAGCAGUCAGAGACCAAUACAACAGCAUGAAGUCCUCUCUGCUCUUCGUAAUUCUAAAUGUAUGAAGAGCUCAGUGGGUGCAGACCAGUUAGACCCACGUCUCUUG